AAACUUUCAACAACGGAUCUCUUGGUUCCAGCAUCGAUGAAGAACGCAGCGAAAUGCGAUAAGUAAUGUGAAUUGCAGAAUUCCGUGAAUCAUCGAAUCUUUGAACGCACAUUGCGCCCUCUGGGUAUUCCGGGGGGCAUGCCUGUCCGAGCGUCAUUGCAACCCUCAAGCGCGGCUU
This 178-nucleotide ribosomal RNA is filed under the name Chrysosporium merdarium. Its description in RNAcentral is "5.8S ribosomal RNA". The stretch from base 2 to 156 matches the Rfam family "5.8S ribosomal RNA". Rfam says of the family: 5.8S ribosomal RNA (5.8S rRNA) is a component of the large subunit of the eukaryotic ribosome. It is transcribed by RNA polymerase I as part of the 45S precursor that also contains 18S and 28S rRNA. Functionally, it is thought that 5.8S rRNA may be involved in ribosome translocation. Lineage: Eukaryota; Fungi; Ascomycota; Eurotiomycetes; Onygenales; Onygenaceae. The record is from RNAcentral.